This 257-nucleotide ribosomal RNA is filed under the name uncultured archaeon. Its description in RNAcentral is "partial 16S ribosomal RNA". It matches the Rfam family "Archaeal small subunit ribosomal RNA", at positions 728 to 982 of the family's 1478-position model. The record is from RNAcentral.
AUUAGACUACCCCGGUAGUCCCAGCCGUAAACUAUGCUCGCUAGGUGUCAGGCAUGGCGCGACCGUGUCUGGUGCCGCAGGGAAGCCGUGAAGCGAGCCACCUGGGAAGUACGGCCGCAAGGCUGAAACGUUAAAGGAAUUGGCGGGGGAGCACAACAACGGGUGGAGCCUGCGGUUUAAUUGGACUCAACGCCGGACAACUCACCGGGGACGACAGCAAUAUGUAGGCCAGGCUGAAGACCUUGCCUGAAUCGCUG